CCUACGGGAGGCAGCAGUGAGGAAUAUUGGUCAAUGGACGAGAGUCUGAACCAGCCAAGUAGCGUGAAGGAUGACUGCCCUAUGGGUUGUAAACUUCUUUUAUAUGGGAAUAAAACGUUCCACGUGUGGGAUUUUGUAUGUACCAUAUGAAUAAGGAUCGGCUAACUCCGUGCCAGCAGCCGCGGUAAUACGGAGGAUCCGAGCGUUAUCCGGAUUUAUUGGGUUUAAAGGGAGCGUAGGUGGAUGGUUAAGUCAGUUGUGAAAGUUUGCGGCUCAACCGUAAAAUUGCAGUUGAAACUGGCAGUCUUGAGUACAGUAGAGGUGGGCGGAAUGCGUGGUGUAGCGGUGAAAUGCUUAGAUAUCACGAAGAACUCCGAUUGCGAAGGCAGUUCACUGGACUGCAACUGACACUGAGGCUCGAAAGUGUGGGUAUCAAACAGGAUUAGAUACCCGGGUAGUC
Molecule: ribosomal RNA, 460 nt
Filed under: uncultured bacterium
Lineage: Bacteria
Description: partial 16S ribosomal RNA
Rfam family: Bacterial small subunit ribosomal RNA
Source: RNAcentral